RNA transcript from Trifolium pratense (red clover), 1646 nucleotides. It is a transcript of the gene named transcription factor bHLH129, with no coding region annotated. NCBI's taxonomy places the organism in Eukaryota, Viridiplantae, Streptophyta, Magnoliopsida, Fabales, Fabaceae. The record is from RefSeq and is a predicted model, not a curated record. The transcript is spliced from 7 exons.
UAAUUUAAUCCUGCCUCAUUCCCUCCAUCUUCCUUUUAGUCUCCGCUUUCUCUCUCUCUCUCUCUCUCUCUCUCUAUAGCACACAGAUUUUGAGAGAUAGAUACCACUAGAUUAGAUUAUUCAAUCUCGAAUCAUCAUCAUCAUCAUCAUGUAUCGUCCUCCUUCGUCUUCCGGUUCUUCUUCAUCCUCUUCCUCUCAGCAACAGCAGAGCUCCAUCAGCCAACAAACGGGACUUACCAGGUACGAUUCCGCACCCGGUUCUCUCCUCGCCAGCACCGUUGAUGCCAUCAUAGGAGGAGGAUCGAGACUUCUCCCUGGAACGGGAGGAGGAGGAGGAGGAGGACAUCAUUAUUUCUCCGGUGACUCCAACCAACAACAUCAACAACAACAGCAGCAGCAUCAGCUACAGAGAUCUUCUAAUGGUUACGUCGACGGCUUUGAUGGAUCGGCAGCGUUGCUCCGUCAAAAAAGCUCUCCAGCUGGCUUCCUAAACCAUCUAGCCACUCUCAAUCAUAAUAAUAGUGCGGGGUUCACAAUCACAAGGGGGGGAAAUGGAGGCUCAAGGUUGAAGUCUGAGUUGAGUUUCACAGGAGGAGGCGGCAGCGGAGGAGGACAAGAAUGCCUUUCUCGAAUAUCCGAAAAUGUUGUUGACUAUGCAACAGCAUCAGGAAAUGGAUCAUUGCACAAUACUAGUACCUGGGGUGGACCUGAUAAUAACAAUAACAAUAAUUCUAAUUCCAUAGUAUUUUCUUCUUCUGCUCCCCAAACUAACAAUACUAAUAAGCGUUCUAGUAGAACUGACAACGACGACCCCGAUCUUCUUCUACAUUGCCUCACUGCCCUCGAAACUCAGUAUAGUCUCCCACAAACUUCUUUGGAAAUGGACAAGCUUAUGCAUAAUAUUCCCCAAGAUUCCGUCCCUUGUAAAAUCCGUGCCAAGCGUGGCUGUGCCACUCAUCCUCGUAGCAUUGCUGAACGGGAGAGGAGAACUAGAAUAAGUGGCAAGUUGAAGAAAUUGCAGGACCUUGUUCCUAAUAUGGAUAAGACCCAGAUUAUUAAGUUGAUCCCGCCUAGCUAGCGACCGGUCCUUAUUUGAACUACUAAUCGCUAAAGCAUCAACUCAAGUUGACCUUCCAAAUAAAUAAUGAGGUGUCAGUAAGGUGAAAUUUAGAAAAGUCAAGUUUCACGAUCUCAAGGCUUGCUUUUUACAAUGAAAUACAAAAUUUUCAGUCAAACAAGUUAUUCUGACAUGCUGGAUUUGGCCGUUCAACACAUCAAAGGUCUUCAAACUCAAGUUCAGAAGCUUCACGAAGAUCUUGAGAAUUGCACUUGCGGAUGCAAACAAAGUACAUAAACUUAUUAUGUUUUAUGAGAUUCUAUGGCACUGUGCAUAGAAAUCAAGGUUUUGAUGGAAACUGAUUUUUGUACCUUCCGACUUUAAAACGAAUAAUGAAGGAAAUUGUACAUUUACGUUGUAAUCUACCUGUGGUAAACAUAGUCUAGAAAAAUCUAUUCCUUUUCAACAUUUGAUAGUUGUACUUGAAUUUGAAAGUAGAGGUUGAUUUUCUGUUGAAUUGGUUUGUUUCUUGUUUGGGUACGUGUGUGUUGUGAUUUGUGAAUGAAUGAUAACUUUAACUUAUUCUUUU